This 691-nucleotide ribosomal RNA is filed under the name Enterococcus faecalis. Its description in RNAcentral is "partial 23S ribosomal RNA". It matches the Rfam family "Bacterial large subunit ribosomal RNA", at positions 1 to 696 of the family's 2925-position model. Lineage: Bacteria; Bacillati; Bacillota; Bacilli; Lactobacillales; Enterococcaceae. The record is from RNAcentral. RNAcentral also lists the same sequence under 2 other names.
GGUUAAGUGAAUAAGGGCGCACGGUGGAUGCCUUGGCACUAGGAGCCGAUGAAGGACGGGACUAACACCGAUAUGCUUUGGGGAGCUGUAAGUAAGCUAUGAUCCAGAGAUUUCCGAAUGGGGGAACCCAAUAUCUUUUAUAGGAUAUUACUUUUCAGUGAAUACAUAGCUGAUUAGAGGUAGACGCAGAGAACUGAAACAUCUUAGUACCUGCAGGAAGAGAAAGAAAAUUCGAUUCCCUGAGUAGCGGCGAGCGAAACGGGAAGAGCCCAAACCAACAAGCUUGCUUGUUGGGGUUGUAGGACUCCAAUAUGGUAGUCUGUUAGUAUAGUUGAAGGAUUUGGAAAAUUCCGCUAAAGAGGGUGAAAGCCCCGUAGACGAAAUGCUGACAACACCUAGGAGGAUCCUGAGUACGGCGGAACACGAGAAAUUCCGUCGGAAUCCGCGGGGACCAUCCCGCAAGGCUAAAUACUCCCUAGUGACCGAUAGUGAACCAGUACCGUGAGGGAAAGGUGAAAAGCACCCCGGAAGGGGAGUGAAAUAGAUCCUGAAACCGUGUGCCUACAACAAGUCAAAGCUCGUUAAUGAGUGAUGGCGUGCCUUUUGUAGAAUGAACCGGCGAGUUACGAUUGCAUGCGAGGUUAAGUCGAAGAGACGGAGCCGCAGCGAAAGCGAGUCUGAAUAGGGCGAA